Molecule: ribosomal RNA, 527 nt
Filed under: bacterium enrichment culture clone Cont315_3130
Lineage: Bacteria
Description: bacterial SSU rRNA
Rfam family: Bacterial small subunit ribosomal RNA
Source: RNAcentral
AGAGUUUGAUCCUGGCUCAGAACAAACGCUUGGCGGCGUGUCUUAAGCAUGCAAGUCGAGCGGCAGGCGCAGCAAUGCGCUGAGAGCGGCGGACUGGUGAGUAACGCGUGGGUAAUCUACCUUUGGCAUGGGGAUAGCCACUAGAAAUAGUGGGUAAUACCGAAUACGUUCCCUGGGGGGAGGUUUCAGGGAAGAAAGGGUGCUACGGCACCGGCCGGAGAUGAGCUCGCGUCCCAUUAGCUYGUUGGUGAGGUAACGGCCCACCAAGGCGAUGAUGGGUAGCCGGCCUGAGAGGGUGUACGGCCACACUGGGACUGAGAUACGGCCCAGACUCCUACGGGAGGCAGCAGCUAAGAAUAUUCCGCAAUGGACGAAAGUCUGACGGAGCGACGCCGCGUGGAUGAUGAAGGCCGAAAGGUUGUAAAGUCCUUUUGCUGGGGAAGAAUAAGUGUGGGAGGGAAUGCCCGCAUGAUGACAUGAACCGGCGAAUAAGCCCGGCCAACUACGUGCCAGCAGCCGCGGUAAUA